This is a long non-coding RNA of Scylla paramamosain (green mud crab), 347 nucleotides long. RefSeq lists it as uncharacterized. The record is from RefSeq and is a predicted model, not a curated record. NCBI's taxonomy places the organism in Eukaryota, Metazoa, Arthropoda, Malacostraca, Decapoda, Portunidae. The transcript has 3 exons.
GGGUGAACUGUGAGUGUAAAUACUAUUGCUGGGUUUAUUUUACUUCAGUUUUACGUGUACAGGACAAUACAGCGGCGCAGAUUGUGUUCCUAUGGAUUUUUUAUUACAGCAGUGUUGGCAGCGUGUGGAGUGUGGCAGAACGGCAGAGGUCACACAGCAGCUCAUCCCACAGCAGGCUGCCCUCCGCUGUGCCGCCACCACAACCACCACUACCAGUGAGGGAGGGGGGCAGAGGUACAGCUCAUCAAAUUGUCAGAUGAUUCCCACGCUGCUGUACCACGGGGUUGGAGAGUGAGAGAGUGGAGAAGAGGGAGCUGAUUCAGAAGGGCUGUGGAAGUGGAAGGGUG